This 77-nucleotide transfer RNA is filed under the name Clostridia bacterium. Its description in RNAcentral is "tRNA-Ile". It matches the Rfam family "tRNA". From Rfam's summary of the family: Transfer RNA (tRNA) molecules are approximately 80 nucleotides in length. Their secondary structure includes four short double-helical elements and three loops (D, anti-codon, and T loops). Further hydrogen bonds mediate the characteristic L-shaped molecular structure. tRNAs have two regions of fundamental functional importance: the anti-codon, which is responsible for specific mRNA codon recognition, and the 3' end, to which the tRNAs corresponding amino acid is attached (by aminoacyl-tRNA synthetases). tRNAs cope with the degeneracy of the genetic code in two manners: having more than one tRNA (with a specific anti-codon) for a particular amino acid; and 'wobble' base-pairing, i.e. permitting non-standard base-pairing at the 3rd anti-codon position. The record is from RNAcentral. Lineage: Bacteria; Bacillati; Bacillota; Clostridia. RNAcentral also lists the same sequence under 1 other name.
GGGCUAUUAGCUCAGUUGGUCAGAGCUACCGGCUCAUAACCGGUUGGUCCGGGGUUCGAAUCCCUGAUAGCCCACCA